Molecule: ribosomal RNA, 519 nt
Filed under: uncultured eukaryote
Lineage: Eukaryota
Description: SSU rRNA
Rfam family: Eukaryotic small subunit ribosomal RNA
Source: RNAcentral
AGGGCACCACCAGGAGUGGAGCCUGCGGCUUAAUUUGACUCAACACGGGAAAACUCACCCGGCCCGGACACUGGAAGGAUUGACAGAUUGAGAGCUCUUUCUUGAUUCAGUGGGUGGUGGUGCAUGGCCGUUCUUAGUUGGUGGAGUGAUUUGUCUGGCUAAUUCCGAUAACGAACGAGACUCUAGCCUACUAAAUAGAUCGUCGGCUUACAAACGCCGACGAGACUUCUUAGAGGGGCAGGCGGUGAUUCAACCGCACGAAACAGAGCAAUAACAGGUCUGUGAUGCCCUUAGAUGUCCGGGGCCGCACGCGCGCUACACUGAAGUGAUCAGCGUGCUUUUGUCAACCUACUCUGUCAAGAGUGGGGAACCCAAUGAACCUUCUUCGUGAUUGGGAUAGGGGAUUGUAAUUAUUCCCCUUGAACGAGGGAAUUCCCAGUAAGCGCGAGUCAUAAGCUCGCGUUGAUUACGUCCCUGCCCUUUGUACACACCGCCCGUCGCUACUACCGAUUGAAUGUU